This 333-nucleotide ribosomal RNA is filed under the name Triticum aestivum (bread wheat). RNAcentral's name for it is "partial small subunit ribosomal RNA". The record is from RNAcentral. Lineage: Eukaryota; Viridiplantae; Streptophyta; Magnoliopsida; Poales; Poaceae.
AUGGCGCGCAAACACAAUUGCCCAGACAUUGCCGUCAUUCUACGUAGACGACGAUCGUCUGCCAUCGAACAAGACCUAUGGCUUCGACCUUGCAUCUUAGCGUUCUGCAUGGCAUGGCUCGACAAGCAGGCUCCUUGCUCUGUGCUCCUCACAUCCUACGACACAAUCGCCAUCCUCGAAACUAUUCAAUUGGAAGAGCUAUGUCAUGGACUGUGCAGCCCCUCGACAAACCUUUCCUCGGGAGUUGAGGUCCAACAACCAAAGAGACAGAUAAGUUGCCCCAAGAACUACUUGACAAAUGCAACAUCAUUUGAAAUGCAACCACGAGACUAA